Eriocheir sinensis (Chinese mitten crab) is the source of this 7677-nucleotide RNA transcript. It is a transcript of the gene named mucin-19-like, with no coding region annotated. Lineage: Eukaryota; Metazoa; Arthropoda; Malacostraca; Decapoda; Varunidae. The record is from RefSeq and is a predicted model, not a curated record. The transcript is spliced from 13 exons.
GAGCCAGCGCAGUGCCAGCCGCCAGCCAGUCAGUCAGUCAGUCGGGCUGGUGCCGCCGCCGCGUGUGCAUGUGUGUGUGCGUGUGUGUGCCGUGUUCGCCGCUCCCAUGUGCGUGUGUGUAGGAUAUUAGUGUAAAGUGACGCACACAAACACACUUUAAAAGGAAUAAGAGCAAGAGAAAGUAAGACAAGAAAGAGGAGAAAAGCAAAGUUUGUAAGCGAGUAUUUGAGUGAGUGCGUGCCAAGAAAACGUUUUAGUGUGGAAAUCAACAAGGAGAGAUUACGAGGAAUUAUAAAAAAAUAAACAAAGAAUGAAUUAAGUCGAUGAUUGCAAUUGCUGUGGAAAAUAAGAACACUAAACCAAAUAUAAUAGGGAAUAUACAAGAAACGUGACUCACAAAACAAGGAGAAAGACUAAAAAGAAAUACAUGAAAAGUUAUCAACACUCAGAAAACAUUGGAUAAGAUUGGAAGAAUAAAGAGCAAGAAAAUAACAAGUGGAAGUUGAGAAUAAAGAAAACUCGAGCGAGAAAGAAAGAACGAGAAACAAAAAAAAAAAAAUGAUGAAACAAAAACUUAGACAUGGAAACAAAUAAGUGAAACGUUGGGAAAAAAGAAAACUACAACAAGAAAGAAAAAACUGAACUGAAAGUAAAAAUAUGAAAUUCAAAAUCGACGAUAACAACAAGAAAAUAGAUUAAAAUACAACACAAAUAAAACAAAUAAAAAAAAACUCCAGAACAAAAAGCAAAACAAAAACAAUAAAAAAGAAAGAACAGAAAAGGAGAAGGAAUCAGAAAAAAACGAAUAUAGUAAAAAAGUGAAUUACAUAAACGAGAAGAAAAAGCAAAUAAAAAAACAAGAAAGAGAGAAAGAACGAAAAAAGGAGAAAACACAAUCUUUACGAAUAAAAUAAAUAAAAAAGAAGUGAAUUACGUCAACGAUAAAUUCCAAUACAUGUCGAAAUUGGAGAAGCAUAUCCGUGUGUGUGUUUUUAAUCGCCUGGACGUGAUGUAAGAAGAUAACGAACGAUAGAGAUGGUGAUAGCCGGCCCCUAAUCUGAGACCCUCCACCGGAAGAGAAGAUAAAGGAAGAUAAAGGGACGAGAAAUCACACAAGUAGUUUCCGUGUUGAAAAGAAGUGAGAAGCUCCUACAAACACAACUACCACCACUACAACAACUACUGCCAUUACUACUACUACUAUUACUACUACUACAACCACUACUGCUACUCUUACUACUACUACCACAACAACUGCCACUAUGAAGAGAAGGCGGGAAACGUGAUAGAGAGCGAGAGAGACAGACAGACGCGCCCUCUCUGCCCACCACCCCUUAACGGAGGAGGAGGAGGAGGAGGAGGGGAGGGGAGUGGCGAGGACGGCCGGGCGGGCUAUGCAUCAAAAUGGUCACAGAAGAGGGACAGAAGACAACGAAGCACACCAGUUGACCUUCCUUGCUCAGCCUCCCUCCCUCCCGCGCCCCCGAGCCUGUGGCAGCGUCGGGGCGGGGCUGGGGCGGGGCGGAGGGGCGGUGGGGCGGGGUGUUGAUGGUGGAGACGCCCCCGCCGCAGUAUGGAACCAGGGCGCCUGUCGUGUGGUGACGCCCGGAGUAACAUCCCACACAUGCAGCUGUUCCACCACCUGAAGCAGAAGUUCCCGGACCUGCGGGACAACGAUGUCAAUGAGAGCAUACAGAAGUAUGGCCUUGACCGCGAGCGUUGCGAGGAGGAACUGUCGCAGCGGACGCAGGUCCACCCUGGAGGUUACUACGGGCCGUGGGGCCGCUCCUCCCCCGCCUCUUCUCGCCUCACCUCCCCCGUGCGCGGCUCCACUCCCUCCACCCCCACCACUCCGCUGCUCGUCAACACCUCCCCCGGCGUGCUGGGCGGGGAGUACUUGGUGUACAGCGGCGGGGGCGCCGCGCCACUCUUCACCUCGCCCCCCGCCACUAGCUCGCCGGCGCUGCACCCGUCCUCCGCCGGCAGCCUGGUAAGUUACGGCUGGAACCCCACCGUGGCCAAUGGUUACCGUCCCGCCCCAAGGCAACCCCAGGACGGCCCCGCCAGGCUGGGGGAUCGGGACCGCUCCAAGUCCCGCUCCGGCACGCCUGUGGCACCCAGCUCGGCCCCGGUGGUGCCCAACUCCUUCGACCCGUUCAGCCGCGAGUCGCCGGAGCGCCGCCGCAGCGCCGACAACCACCACCACCACCACCACCACCUUCCCGAGGCGCGCUACUCCCCGCCCCCCGCACGCCCCGCCAUGGACCCGCCUGCUGGUCUGGCGGCCACGGCCACAGCCACCACCACCUUCACCACCACUACCACCAACACCACCACCUUCGCCACCCUCAUCACUACCACAGCCACCCCCACCACCACCAUCACCACCACCACUUCCACCACCAUCAACUGUACAAACCUCAGCCCAGUCGACGGUGGCAGUAACAGUAGCAGCAGUAGCAGCGGCAGCGGCGGCGGCGGCAGCAGAAGCAGCGGCCGUCCUCCUCCAGGUCGGAGACUCGUUUCGUCUGUGCACCUUAUCCCCGUCCCUCCCCACGGGGCGCAUCACGCCCCCGGGCCACCCUCCAGUGACGGCACGGUGUCGGUGUGCGGCCGCUCGUACACCUCCGUCAACCUGCAACUGAGGCAGCCGUCCUCGGAGCCGCAGCCCCCCAUUCAGAUCCGGUCGAACGGAUCUUCCCUCACGUAUUCCACUUCGUCCCUGGACCACCGCCAGGGCUCGCGCUCCUCCCUUCAGAUCUCCAUAGGGCCCACCGGAGGCACCAUCUCGGCCAUGCGCACAAACCUAGACAAUAAAAGUUCCCAGGCCAACACAGCGUUCCACAUCCAGUACAGCUCAGGCGGCGAGGAGGGACGCUCCCCCACGGGGGCGCCCUUUCCCACCACGGGGGACGUGGUAGGUUCUGAGGGGGUGACGGGGCAGGUGCGGCGACCCCAGACCUGGUACGUGACGGACUCUGUCACUUCAGAGUCCAGGCAGAGAAAGUCGUCCCUGCCGGAGUGCGUGGGGCCGCCCGUCACCCUGCACCCCUUCCACUACCCGCCCUAUACCGAGCCCGGCCUCGGCUACUCCGCGGCAGAGCCCUUGCUGGCCGCGCCGCCCGCAGGCCCUGACUCUGCCCACGCGCAAGUGCUCGUCCAGGACCAGCUGGCACGAAAACAGCGCAUGGCGAUGGAGCUGAGCAAGCAGGUGGAAGAGAAGGACCGGCUGGAGGCUGAGGUGGAGAUGAUGCUGCGGGAGUUGCAGGCGCGGGAACAGCAACGCAAACUCAACGCGGAUACCAAUACUAUGAGAAUAGAGGAGGUGCAGCAGGAGAAUCAGCGGUUGCAGUCUGAGUGUUAUGAGAUGGAGAACAGAAUACUGCGUCUCGCACCUGACUUUGAUCUUGAGGGUUACUCCACCCUGACACAACCUCAACCAGGCUACUCUGAGGGUAUGCCGCCGGUCUCACAGCCGCCACUGCUCACCAGAGGAAGUUCAGGGUCCAGCUUGGGGAGUGAGCUGGGGACGCCCAACACCCCCAACACCCCCCACACACCCGGCUACCUCCCCACCCGGCCUGCCCCCCCUCCUCCUGCACCCCCACCACCCCCACUGACCAACCAUGGCUAUGGGCAAUAUCAGGGGCGAGGAGGAGAGCGGAUGGAGGAGGCGAGUCACAAGUGGGGCUGCUCCAAGUGCACCUUCAUCAACCACCCCGACAUGAACAUGUGCGAGAUGUGCGACUUUCCACGCUUCACCAUAGGUACGGCUCCCCCCCAUGGCCAGGCAGCUACCACUGCUUCCCCCCACCACCAGGGUCCAUGCUACUGCCACCACCGCCACAGCCACCACCUCCACCAACUCCAACACAGCACAGGGUCGCAAGAAUACCGCGGCUGGGCGAUGGUGUAAGCUCUUCCCUUCUCUCGCUUCUCUCUGCCACACCAAGUGAGAGACCUACCCUAAGCCUUGAAUCCACAGUGGGAGGCAAGACAAUACUUCUCUUCCAAGUGUCCCGCUGCAAUGGGAAUCCGAAACUUCCGUCUCCUCUUCCAACACCUCCUCCUCCUACUCCUCACUCUGGGCCACCUCCUGCAAGGUCAAGAAGUGCAGCCUCCUCAGUGAUGUACGCCUGAUGAGGAACCUUACACAAGCGUCCUCCUGCACCCACUCCCCCAGACCCGUGAGGAGAGUUGUGAUGCUCCAGGAGGCCCAGACAGACAGGCAGGCCGAGGUAGUGUGAGGUGUUACGUCUGUCCCGAACUUGCUGAGAUCUUCAUCCUACUCUCUGACUUUACAAGAUCCCACAGGAUACUUUGCUCAACAUAGUGUAAAUCCAAGGCUUUAGGUAGAAUGUAUGUAUUGCAGGGAAUUUAUCAUCAUUGACUGAUAUUUAUGAUAGUUAUUAUUAUUAUUAUUAUUAUUAUUAUUAUUAUAAAAAAUAUUAAGAAAGGGUCAAGCAGCAAGAGUAUUGCCUUCAUUACUGUCAUAACGGUUCUCCCUGUGAAAGAAGUAUUUAUACAGUUUGUUAUUAUUUUGCUAAUUUUCAUAGUAGCAUUGUUCGACAUUUUUAUCACCACUGUACUGCACACAGCUCAAGAAUGGAUGGUGUUGAUGACUCAGCUAGUGGUGGUGGCUGCCUGCUGGCAUUUAUGUGUAUCAGCUGGUUGUGGUAGCUGCCAGCUGUGGUGUUAUAGCCAUCAGCUGGUGUUAGGGGCUGUUGUCUGUGGCACACUGUACUCCUCAGUACCACACGGGGAUGGGGGCAAGUGUAGCAGUCUAGCGCUGGCUGGGGCGUUGGGGCUGGGGCUGUCAGGGUUGUGUCCAUGCACAUCAGUAUGAUCAUUUUUUUUAUUUUUUUUAUUUUAUUUUUUAUUUUUUUAGAGGAUUGAUUGGGGAAAUCGAAUUUUGGGCAAGAGGUGAGAAACAAGAAUUUACCAUAUCUGCCGGUGUCAGAGACACACCCCAUUUUCAAACGCUAUAUUAUGGAAAAAAAAAAUAAUAAUAAUAUCCUCACCCUUACCAAUUUUACUAAGAUGUUUUGUGGCUGUUUCAUGACUUCUAAUACAUGUCUACCAUAUGCUACUGGACCAGCACCUCAUUGUGAUAUAUAGACCAUACAGUACACAUGUAUACCAUGUUGUAACAACAGCACUAUGUGGAAGGUGACCUGCUCACUCUGAAGGUCUGUUUGCCACUGGCGAGUCUUGGUCUUGACUAUACCAGGAAUCUAGUUUAAGUAAACCUGGUAUAGCAGCCCAGCCACUGACCAUGAUCAAAACUUGUAAAUGGAGUGUGUGGUUAAGCCUCAUACUGCCAUUAGAUUAUACUGUAUGUAUUACCGGUUUCACUUCAAUUAUUUUUACAUUAUUACACAAACGUAACAAAUCAUAGAAAUGACACUCUGGAGUUAGUGACUCCCACACCAAGACCAACACCAGAACACUAACAGUGACUGCUGUAAGUGUUUCCUUUUCAUCUCAGGAGACUGCCAAGUAGGGUCUGCUAAACAGUCACAGCUCUUCAACAACAACAACAUCUUAUCUGAUCUGUACACUUCCUAUAGGCCUAGGUUAUAAUAUUGCAACAUUCAGUGUCUGAUACACAUACUAAUUUUUGUAGUCUUAUUUUGAGAGAGAAAAAAGUGCGUCUUUGAUGCUGGCAAGUCCGAUAGUUACAUUUAUAACACAGAAAAUGAAUGGGGCAGGCAAUGCUGAGGUGAGGGUUUUUAACACUUCUUGUGUUUCUGUAACUUUUUCUGCAGGACUUUAGAGAGUUAGAGGAGCAAAGGACUGGCACAAAGAAACCCACCCAUCUGAGCCUAUCCGUACCCCUCCCCUCCCCUCCCCUCCCCUUCCUGUCACAAGAGGAAAAAUCUUUAUUACCAUUUCUCUUUCUCCAUUCUUAUUAAUAUCGUCUCCCUCCUGACAGCCAUUUGAAGUACAUAAUUUCACUGUUUCACGGGUUUUGGCAUCUCAUCCUAUGUCAAGGAAUCGUACUCUUAGCAGCAUUCCUUCUUGGAAAAUGAAUUUCCAAGAUAAUUGCCAGAUAACUGCCAGAGUAAAUAUGAAAUGCAUCUAAAAAAACAUAUUGGAAUGCAAAUCUGUAUUUUUUCUGCAUAUUUGCAUAUUUUACCUGUGUUUACAGGAAAUGAGGAUAUUAAUAUUAUUAUUUAUUAUUUAUUAUUAUUAUUAUUAUUAUUAUUAUUAUUAUUAUUAUUAUUAUUAUUAUAAUCAGUCAUUGGCUACAUUACUGACAAUGACUUAAGUUAAUGUUGCCAGUAUGUCUGGAAACAUUGUUGUCAGAAGCAGCUACAUUAGGAACUCGGAGUACUUGUGAUGGCUGCACGAGGUGUGCUUCACUGGGUGCAGCAGUGCUGUCAUGUGUCUGUUGUUCAUUUGAUCUAGAGUGUAUUAUAUGCUGUACUGUUUUGCCAUGGUUGUGAUAGUUAGGGUCUUAAAGAUUUCUUCCUGCUAGGGAAGGCACUGAUUUAUAUUGAACAAGACAUUCUGCCAAGAAUGUCAAAAGUGCAGUAAUGUCUCAUUCUGAUAAAGUUAAGGUGCAUGACGUGGCCACUGCUUGACUGAGCCCUCUGCGUGUCUGUGACACCACUAAAGGGAGUUUCAGAAGAAACAAGUACUCACUUAUUGAGCAGUGCUGAUCACUGGGUCAGAUUAGCCUCCAGUCAUUUCCCUACUUAGACCACGUGCAUGUAUCAGAAUGAGCCUUUGUUGUGCUGCCCUAAAAGCCUUGUACCCCAGCCCAGCCCAGCCCAGCCCAGCAGCUCUUACCGCCACUCCCAUGCUGCCUCACCGACACCUUUCCCACUUGACCUAAAACUGAUCAUUCCAUGGGCCAGAGUUGACCUGACUUACACAUGGCAUCUUUCAUCCUGAUAUUAAUAUAGUGUGUGCUUACACACACACACACACACACACACACACACACACACACACACACACACACACACACACAUAGAUUGGGAGACAGGACUACCGGAGCUUGAGCUCAGGCCCUGUAUACUACAAAUAGGCAAAUAGGAAAACACACACACACACACACACACACACACACACACACACACAUACCUUUUAUGAAGUACUACCAAGAACAUUGUCUUUCUUAUUUCCAUAUCAAGCACUGUAAACCUCUGGCACCACAGCACAGUUUUGUUAAGUUAGCACAAGCCAGCGCUGGCGUGUGAGAGGCCUCGUAUCACUGCUCUGUGUAGCCCAAGCUGGCCGACCAAAGAUAUGCGUCCUGAGCUUCCCUCAUGCCAGUGGGGAGCCGCCCUGAACCAUGAGUAAUGAACGACAUGUUUGACCACAAAUCUGUAGCAUGCUCUUCAUUUCUUUGCCUCACACACGCCAGCAGCCAGACGGAGACUGUUGGGAUGUUAGAUUGGCAGGACAGACAACCAGAGUGGUCCAGACACAAAGACAUAACCACAGCCUUGUGUCUCUCCUCCUGCUGGCCCUCAGAUAAUCAGCCAGCCAGUUGGUGAGGACCACUGUGUUGUUCAGUUACUUAUCUGGUCACUGUCUUAUUCGUUGCCUGGAGCCGUAGCUUCCAACUUGCUAAUGUGAAGAAGCAAGACACAAUUCAUGGAAACUUUAGGCAAUUUUGUAAAACUACAACAAGACUGUCGUUGUAUUAAACAAUACGAUAUUAAA